Molecule: ribosomal RNA, 776 nt
Filed under: uncultured bacterium
Lineage: Bacteria
Description: bacterial SSU rRNA
Rfam family: Bacterial small subunit ribosomal RNA
Source: RNAcentral
GAGUUUGAUCCUGGCUCAGGAUGAACGCUGGCGGCGUGCCUAAUACAUGCAAGUCGAACGAAACUUCUUUAUCACCGAGUGCUUGCACUCACCGAUAAAGAGUUGAGUGGCGAACGGGUGAGUAACACGUGGGCAACCUGCCCAAAAGAGGGGGAUAACACUUGGAAACAGGUGCUAAUACCGCAUAACCAUAGUUACCGCAUGGUAACUAUGUAAAAGGUGGCUAUGCUACCGCUUUUGGAUGGACCCGCGUCUGAUUAGCCAGUUGGCAGGGUAACGGCCUACCAAAGCGACGAUCAGUAGCCGGCCUGAGAGGGCGGACGGCCACAUUGGGACUGAGACACGGCCCAAACUCCUACGGGAGGCAGCAGUGGGGGAUAUUGCACAAUGGGGGAAACCCUGAUGCAGCGACGCCGCGUGAGUGAAGAAGUAUUUCGGUAUGUAAAGCUCUAUCAGCAGGGAAGAAGAUGACAGUACCUGACCAAGAAGCCCCGGCUAACUACGUGCCAGCAGCCGCGGUAAUACGUAGGGGGCAAGCGUUAUCCGGAUUUACUGGGUGUAAAGGGAGCGUAGACGGCUUUGUAAGUCUGGAGUGAAAGCCCGGGGCCCAACCCCGGGACUGCUUUGGAAACUGUGAAGCUUGAGUACAGGAGGGGCAGGCGGAAUUCCUGGUGUAGCGGUGAAAUGCGUAGAUAUCAGGAGGAACACCGGCGGCGAAGGCGGCCUGCUGGACUGAAACUGACGUUGAGGCUCGAAAGCGUGGGGAGCAAACAGGA